UUUAGUACCGUAGCUAACGCGUGAAGUUGACCGCCUGGGGAGUACGGCCGCAAGGUUAAAACUCAAAGGAAUUGACGGGGACCCGCACAAGCGGUGGAUGAUGUGGAUUAAUUCGAUGCAACGCGAAAAACCUUACCUACCCUUGACAUGCCAGGAACUUGCCAGAGAUGGCUUGGUGCCCGAAAGGGAACCUGGACACAGGUGCUGCAUGGCUGUCGUCAGCUCGUGUCGUGAGAUGUUGGGUUAAGUCCCGCAACGAGCGCAACCCUUGUCAUUAGUUGCCAUCAUUUAGUUGGGCACUCUAAUGAGACUGCCGGUGACAAACCGGAGGAAGGUGGGGAUGACGUCAAGUCCUCAUGGCCCUUAUGGGUAGGGCUUCACACGUCAUACAAUGGUCGGUACAGAGGGUUGCCAAGCCGCGAGGUGGAGCCAAUCCCAGAAAGCCGAUCGUAGUCCGGAUCGUAGUCUGCAACUCGACUACGUGAAGUCGGAAUCGCUAGUAAUCGCG
Molecule: ribosomal RNA, 508 nt
Filed under: uncultured bacterium
Lineage: Bacteria
Description: bacterial SSU rRNA
Rfam family: Bacterial small subunit ribosomal RNA
Source: RNAcentral